Molecule: ribosomal RNA, 590 nt
Filed under: uncultured bacterium
Lineage: Bacteria
Description: bacterial SSU rRNA
Rfam family: Bacterial small subunit ribosomal RNA
Source: RNAcentral
UCCUACGGGAGGCAGCAGUAGGGAAUCUUCCGCAAUGGACGAAAGUCUGACGGAGCAACGCCGCGUGAGUGAUGAAGGCUUUCGGGUCGUAAAACUCUGUUGUUAGGGAAGAACAAGUGCUAGUUGAAUAAGCUGGCACCUUGACGGUACCUAACCAGAAAGCCACGGCUAACUACGUGCCAGCAGCCGCGGUAAUACGUAGGUGGCAAGCGUUAUCCGGAAUUAUUGGGCGUAAAGCGCGCGCAGGUGGUUUCUUAAGUCUGAUGUGAAAGCCCACGGCUCAACCGUGGAGGGUCAUUGGAAACUGGGAGACUUGAGCGCAGAAGAGGAAAGUGGAAUUCCAUGUGUAGCGGUGAAAUGCGUAGAGAUAUGGAGGAACACCAGUGGCGAAGGCGACUUUCUGGUCUGUAACUGACACUGAGGCGCGAAAGCGUGGGGAGCAAACAGGAUUAGAUACCCUGGUAGUCCACGCCGUAAACGAUGAGUGCUAAGUGUUAGAGGGUUUCCGCCCUUUAGUGCUGAAGUUAACGCAUUAAGCACUCCGCCUGGGGAGUACGGCCGCAAGGCUGAAACUCAAAGGAAUUGACGGA